This 102-nucleotide Y RNA is filed under the name Prolemur simus (greater bamboo lemur). RNAcentral describes it as "Y RNA (ENSPSMG00000002366.1)". It matches the Rfam family "Y RNA". Rfam says of the family: Y RNAs are components of the Ro ribonucleoprotein particle (Ro RNP), in association with Ro60 and La proteins. The record is from Rfam by way of RNAcentral. Lineage: Eukaryota; Metazoa; Chordata; Mammalia; Primates; Lemuridae.
GGCUGGUCCGAGUGCAGUGGUGUUUACAACUAAUUGAUCACAACCAGUUACAGAUUUCCUUUGUUCCUCUCCACUCCCACUACUUCACUUGACUAGCCUUAA